UACUAUUCUACUCACUGGGCUAUAGUAGCUCAUCCCUCUCCCCUAACUCCAGUUGUGCAGGUUCAGAGGUCAGAGAGAACUCAGCAGGGUACAGGAAGAGUACAGAGUUUUGUAAUAGCUAGUGUGGACAUGUAAUUGUAUAGAGAUAGUGUAUAUGUAUAGAAUGGUGCUUGAUUUAUAAGACUUGUAAUCCCUUUGUGGAGUCACAUGAUCAGUUUAUGUAUGUUUCUUUAUUCGUGUAUGUUUAUGAGCAAAACCAGGCUUAACAUUAUGAGUUUGAUCCGCCUAGAGCCAUGAGGAGCUCUAGUAGGGAUUAGUAGAGCACAGAGAGAGUGCAUGCACAGGUUAAGCCUUGGAAUGAAGAAAAGUUUUAUGUUUUUACAGCAAUUGUAUGAUCAUGUAUGGGAUUUCACAGGUAUACAGACAGGAUAGCAGGCUUACUACGGGUCCCGGCGACCUUAAGUCGAUCUGGAUCCUAGUGCCGGUGGCAGUUCGGUUUCCGGGCUGUUACA
This 512-nucleotide long non-coding RNA is filed under the name Manihot esculenta (cassava). RNAcentral describes it as "long non-coding RNA (MESC_LNC004481)". The record is from RNAcentral. Lineage: Eukaryota; Viridiplantae; Streptophyta; Magnoliopsida; Malpighiales; Euphorbiaceae.